AUCAUUUUUUAAUUUGGGAGCUGACGACGUAAAAUUUCCGCGAACCUGAUGUUUUAUUGACGUCAUAAAUAAAACUCUACGGAAAUGCAUUGUCAACGUCAUAAACAAGGUGAUAUACGGUCAGUGACUGUAUAUCACAUAUGAAUAUACAGUCAAUUCAAUUUGACUGCUCAAAUAGGACAGCUGCAGUAUAUAAAUGUUUUCAAACCUGGCAUAUUUUUUUGACUUCUCUUACCACUAAUUGGCAUAGAUUGUUACCUGCAACAAAUUUUGCGUCUUAUAUUGGUAUCACAUCAUCGUCAUCGUUGUCAGAAGACAUUUGGUUUCCAGUCAAUAACUUUAGUAUAAGUAGAUAGAAAUCUAUGAAGUUUAUAACCACAAAAGAAAGGUUGGGAUUGAUUUUGGGGGUUAUGGUCUUCUAUCUCUUCUAUAAAAUACCGUAUAGCAGGUAAUUUUUCCAGGGUGCAAAUUUUCACUUAUUUUCACGGAAAGAUCAAAAUCGUCAAAAUAAAUUCCACCAAUUUAAAACGGAACAUGCUAAGGUAUUGAUAAAAUUUUUGAAUUCGCCAAAAUAAUAACCGCAAAAUAUUUCGCAUACCUUUAUAGUUUAUUCAAUGAAAAUAGCGAAAUAUUACAACCGCGAAAAUAACCCGCUGUACGGUAGUUGUACCAAUAAUAAGAAAAUAGACAAAUAUCAGAAUCUAAUCAAGAACAGAGAUUGAGGACACUUGAACUGAUUACUAAUUAUGAAUAUUAACACACACAAUGUAAUCCGGAAAUUGAUGAAUCCGGAGACGUUUUUCCUUAUAUUGAUUAUAGAUUUUAACAUAAAAAUCUAAAAAUUGAUUUAAUUAUACGUAAUUUAAUUUGUUUUAUCAUUUUAUUGUCGAGCCUGCGACUUUUGUAGCAGUAAGCUUGACAUAGGGAUAGUGAUUCGGCG
RNAcentral lists this long non-coding RNA (940 nucleotides) under Mytilus galloprovincialis (Mediterranean mussel). Lineage: Eukaryota; Metazoa; Mollusca; Bivalvia; Mytilida; Mytilidae. The record is from RNAcentral.